AGUGAACGCUGGCGGUAGGCCUAACACAUGCAAGUCGAACGGCAGCACAGUAAGAGCUUGCUCUUACGGGUGGCGAGUGGCGGACGGGUGAGGAAUACAUCGGAAUCUACUUUUUCGUGGGGGAUAACGUAGGGAAACUUACGCUAAUACCGCAUACGACCUACGGGUGAAAGCAGGGGAUCUUCGGACCUUGCGCGAUUGAAUGAGCCGAUGUCGGAUUAGCUAGUUGGCGGGGUAAAGGCCCACCAAGGCGACGAUCCGUAGCUGGUCUGAGAGGAUGAUCAGCCACACUGGAACUGAGACACGGUCCAGACUCCUACGGGAGGCAGCAGUGGGGAAGAUUGGACAAUGGGCGCAAGCCUGAUCCAGCCAUACCGCGUGGGUGAAGAAGGCCUUCGGGUUGUAAAGCCCUUUUGUUGGGAAAGAAAAGCAGCAGGUUAAUACCCCGCUGUUCUGACGGUACCCAAAGAAUAAGCACCGGCUAACUUCGUGC
RNAcentral lists this ribosomal RNA (493 nucleotides) under uncultured bacterium. RNAcentral describes it as "partial 16S ribosomal RNA". It matches the Rfam family "Bacterial small subunit ribosomal RNA", at positions 29 to 508 of the family's 1533-position model. The record is from RNAcentral.